CCUCUUGAGGAAAGCGAGAGAUCGCGCGACUGGAGGGACUCGCGGCCCAUCAGGUAGUAGGUGAGGUGAAGGCUCACCUAGCCGAUGACGGGUAGCUGGUCUGAGAGGAUGGCCAGCCAGACUGGGACUGAGAGACGGCCCAGACUCCUACGGGGGGCAGCAGGGGGGGAUCUUGGUCAAUGGGGGAAACCCUGAACCAGCGACGCCGCGUGAGGGAAGAAGGUCUUUGGAUCGUAAACCUCUUUUGGCAGGGAAGAUUAUGACGGUACCUGUCGAAUAAGCCCCGGCUAACUACGUGCCAGCAGCCGCGGUAAUACGUAGGGGGCGAGCGUUGUCCGGAUUUACUGGGCGUAAAGAGCGCGUAGGUGGUCUGAAGAGUCGGCUGUGAAAUCUCUGGGCCCAACCCAGAGGGGUCGGCCGAGACCUUUGGACUA
This 434-nucleotide ribosomal RNA is filed under the name uncultured bacterium. RNAcentral describes it as "bacterial SSU rRNA". It matches the Rfam family "Bacterial small subunit ribosomal RNA", at positions 193 to 643 of the family's 1533-position model. The record is from RNAcentral.